CACAUUAAUAGGUAUUUUCCUAGUCCCUCUUUCAAUAAUAGCAAUUUCAUCUUCUUCCUCACAUAUAGUAGGCAAAGAUAUAUUCACAUCUUCCCUCAACUUAGCAUCAUUCAAUAUCUUCUCUGUUUUUUUGGACUUUGUCCCUUGAAUCGCCUCAACACACUUAGCUUUUUGUUCUUCACUUGCUUUAGGACAUGAUGCCACACCUUUUCCCUUGAUUCCUGCUACGUGAGAUUUAUGCCUAGAGAUUCC
This 252-nucleotide long non-coding RNA is filed under the name Olea europaea subsp. europaea. Lineage: Eukaryota; Viridiplantae; Streptophyta; Magnoliopsida; Lamiales; Oleaceae. The record is from RNAcentral.